UACGAAGGGGGCUAGCGUUGUUCGGAAUUACUGGGCGUAAAGCGCGCGUAGGCGGUUUUGCAAGCCAGAGGUGAAAUGCCUGAGCUCAACUUAGGAAUUGCCUUUGGGACUGCGAGGCUUUGAGGACGGGAGAGGUGAGUGGAAUUCCCAGUGUAGAGGUGAAAUUCGUAGAUAUUCGCAAGAACACCAGUGGCGAAGGCGGCUCACUGGCCCGAUACUGACGCUGAGGCACGAAAGCGUGGGGAGCAAACAGG
Molecule: ribosomal RNA, 254 nt
Filed under: uncultured bacterium
Lineage: Bacteria
Description: partial 16S ribosomal RNA
Rfam family: Bacterial small subunit ribosomal RNA
Source: RNAcentral